Molecule: long non-coding RNA, 387 nt
Filed under: Nicotiana benthamiana
Lineage: Eukaryota; Viridiplantae; Streptophyta; Magnoliopsida; Solanales; Solanaceae
Description: long non-coding RNA (NBEN_LNC041593)
Source: RNAcentral
CUACUAAAUUUUCAAAAUGGUCAUGCCACUGCUCUUCUUUUUGCUCUUUAAGAAUCAUAAAAUCCCAGUUCAUAUGUUUAUGCCUUAAGAGUAAUUAGAAUGGGUAUAGAUCAUUACAUCAUACUUCUGAGCUAAUGAUUAUACUGGUCAAUCAUGUUUGGUAAGUUUUCAGUCUAUCGUCUAUCAGUACAACCAAAAAAAUGAAACAUACCUUUGAAAAUUGAAAUCGAAUCGAGCUCGGAACAACUGCAGCAGCGUCUUCGACUUUUCGUUUGCCCGAAAUUUGUGAGGAGUGAGGAAUUGAAUCGAGCUCGGAAAUCGCCAAAUACCCUAAUCGCCUAUUCACAAUACUCAGUCUGACUAUCGUCAUCUAUGAGUACUCCUAAG